RNAcentral lists this long non-coding RNA (2254 nucleotides) under Bemisia tabaci. RNAcentral describes it as "lncRNA ENSSSA3NGG001227". The record is from RNAcentral. Lineage: Eukaryota; Metazoa; Arthropoda; Insecta; Hemiptera; Aleyrodidae.
GAGUGCGAGAGUUAUUUGAGCAAGAGCCACCCCUCCGCCACGGAAAACUCGUGGAGAGCUAAUGAAAGAUAUUGAUGCUGAUUAUUAUGGAUACAGAGAUGAUGAUGAUGGCCUCCUCCUCCCAGCUGAGAUGACUGAAGAAAAAAAGGCCAUUGCCAAAGCUAUAGCUGAUUGGAAAAAUCGAGUAGAAUCAAUGGAAGUUGGCGAGGAAAGUGAGACAGAAGAGGUUGAGAAAAGCCGUUUGCCAGCAGAAAGCGGUGAUUCUAGUGAGAAUGAAGGUGAAGAGGAUGCAGGGCUUCAAAACGAGCUCAGUGGAUCUAAAUUUAUUGCUCAUGUUCCGGUUCCAUCUCAAAACAAAUAGAACAAGCACUCAUCGAAAGGAAAAAGCAGGAGCUUCUGAACAGAUAUGCCAGUGAAGCUCUCGUGAAAGAAGAAGAAAGUGCAAAAGAACUACUCGGUAUCAAUGAAACUAAAAACAGUUGAUCUGUUAUUCCUUUCAUUCACUAAAGCAUCGUUCUAACUUUGUAAGCAACUUUAAAAAUCGGUUAUAGUACAUUUUGAGAACAAAGCGGAUAUCAGAGCAAACAGUUUAAUUGUUGUCUUUUCCGGGUUCCAUUGAGGAAUAUUUAAAACAUUACAUAUAAUAUAGAAAGAGAAUAAUUGACUUUCUUGCAAAUAAUAAUAACAUUCAUAAGUAAUGCAAAUAUUUGAGUCAUCUUGAAGCUAAGUUCAUUUUACUGAUGAGCCGGCAUUCCAUACGAAUACUAGCGUUAAGGGACUCGUCAGGAAACUGGACUGUGCUCCUUCUGCUUCAAAAUGCCUCAUUGAUGAAUCAUAUGAAUAGUACAGGUAAUUAAAAUUAAGUGUUAACUGUUUUAGCAUAUGAAUUGGGCGCUGCCGCAUGAAUUUGGUGAAAGUUUAAAAGAAUAAGUCGCCACUAGUGUAAUAUAUGAAGAUACAGAGAAACUUAACCAUGGCAGGAAAUUUAUUCAUGAGCAAUAUGCCUGCAAAAUUCUGGGCUGUUAAGCACCAAUAUUAUGAAAAUUUAACAUACUUUGGGUGAAGUAACGUACCGUCUCAACCUCAAGCCUACCUAUCCAUGCAAAAUAAACCUCUCUUAUCUUAACAAUAGGACUGAGCAUGUGUUUUUUUUGCUGGUGUAUUUUGCAUUUUUUACUAUAAUUUACACCACGCAAAGUAAAAAAACUAACUUCUAGCUUCUUAUUUGUCCCGUCAAGAUUUUACCACAACCCUAGUACAGAAAGGAAUUUUCUCCCAAGAAUUGGAUUCUUUUUACUUUAUUUUUGUAUGUAAAAUGCUGCUACUGUCUGUGAGUGUUACAAACAAAUACGAUAAACAGUUUAGUUUGCUGGCUAUCGAUGACUAAUUGUACCUAUUCAGUUUUAAAUUUAUUUCCAGAAUCAAAUUCAAAAUAGGGAUGAUUACAUGUAGAAACUACUGCCCCCAGGUUGAAUUAAAUUGUAUACAGGGCUUCUCUCAAAAAUAAUUUUUUUUAGUAGUAGGAUAGGCAUUGUCAAUUCUAUCCGGAAAAAAUGGUCUAAUAUCAUGCACAUAUUAAUUCCUUGUAUGUUUUCAUUUUGUACAGAAUUUAGGCUUAUUCAUUCAACUGUGAUGAUGUAAAAUGUUUUAAUUUCAUGAGGUUUUCAUGUAUGUAGUUAUAUCGUACCUCAAUACAAGUUCUUUUUUUUGUGUAAAAAACCUAACAGUUUUGUUUAAUUGAUAGCCCGCCCGGCAAAACGUGUGCAAAAACGUUGAAGAAACAUUGUGACAACGUCCUGUCCUCAAGUAACGUUGCUACAACCCUGUGACGACGUUUUUUCACACGUUUUGCCGGGCGGGAGUCCAUGUAGCAUCUGCUGGAAUCAAUCUUGCCCCAAGAACUUAUAUUGGUUGCCAGAACAACAAAGUCACAAACUAGACCAAUAAUGAGAUGCCAUAGGCCGCUACUGAAUAAUCUUGAAAAUCCGACACUUAAUUCAUUGAACAACUGAAUUUUUGCAGGAGGCUGAGAAAUGCAUAAAAAGUGGAAUGUUAACAUGAAAGAUGCGGUUCAUGAUUGCUCCUCAGAGCGUUCGCUUUCAGAAUCCAAAUUACACCAGGAAGUUGAAAGUUUGUCCUCUCCUAUGCUUGUUUGGUUUUUUCUCUAUUGCUUUCGGCAGUUUUCAAGAAAAGAAAUUGGUAAGUUGACCUACACAGAGCAGAUAAAACCAGGGAAGUUUUUAAAAAAUGACGU